GGAAAAUCUAAAUUUAACUAUCUUAAUAUAAAAAACUUACUGAAUGAAUUAUUUGGUGGUAAACCGCAUCGUCCAGCCAUUCUACUGUUGGAGUUGAUUAAUAUAAUUCCCUGUGCGUUUUCCUUUUAUUUUUUGAAAGAAAAUUUUUUGUCUGUUCGCUAAAUGUGCGUGUACAAGAAUGCAUGGGUGUUGGGCCCCUGAAGUCCAGUUUUAGUGAGUUGUUCUUGAAUAGUUGACGUCAUGUGGUUUGAUGGCGUGCAUGUUUGUCAGGUGUUAAUUAGGUAUCAGUUUGUAUGUAUAAUUAGUGUGUGAUGUGCCGUGGGCUAAACUGAUAACCAAGGAAUGUGUAAAAAAAAUUUUUUAGUCAUAAGUGUGAGAAUUGUCUGUCCGCCCCCAGAUCUAGUUGGUGAGAGAGGGAAUUUCAUUGUGACCAGGCACAUGCAUUGAAGAAAAACAAAAAACAACAAAAAAAAGCAACCAACAAAAAACAUAAACAUAAGAAACA
This is a non-coding RNA of Paramuricea clavata, 505 nucleotides long. NCBI's taxonomy places the organism in Eukaryota, Metazoa, Cnidaria, Anthozoa, Malacalcyonacea, Plexauridae. The record is from the annotation of a GenBank genome assembly.